CUACCCCUACGGGGCGCAGCAGUAGGGAAUUUUCGUCAAUGGGCGCAAGCCUGAACGAGCAAUGCCGCGUGAACGAGGAAGGUCUUCGGAUCGUAAAGUUCUGUUGAAGGGGAAAAAGAGCGGAGAGAGGAAAUGGUCUCCGAUUGAUAUUACCCUUCGAGGAAGUCACGGCUAACUACGUGCCAGCAGCCGCGGUAAUACGUUGGUGGUGAGCGUUAUCCGGAAUGAUUGGGCGUAAAGGGUGCGUAGUCGG
Molecule: ribosomal RNA, 253 nt
Filed under: uncultured bacterium
Lineage: Bacteria
Description: partial 16S ribosomal RNA
Rfam family: Bacterial small subunit ribosomal RNA
Source: RNAcentral